This 96-nucleotide microRNA precursor is filed under the name Ovis aries (sheep). RNAcentral describes it as "miRNA (ENSOARG00000021615.1)". Lineage: Eukaryota; Metazoa; Chordata; Mammalia; Artiodactyla; Bovidae. The record is from RNAcentral.
CUUCAAUCUUUGUUGCGGCUGCAGGAUCUUUAGUUGUGGUGUGCGAACUCUGAGUCGUGGCAUGUGGGAUCUAGUUCCCUGACCAGGGAUUGAACC